GUGGGGAAUCUUCCGCAAUGGACGAAAGUCUGACGGAGCAACGCCGCGUGAGUGAAGAAGGUUUUCGGAUCGUAAAGCUCUUUCGUUAGGGACGAACGUGCUCUUUGUGAAUAAUGAGGAGUAAUGACGGUACCUAAAUAAGAAGCCACGGCUAACUACGUGCCAGCAGCCGCGGUAAUACGUAGGUGGCAAGCGUUGUCCGGAAUUAUUGGGCGUAAAGCGCGCGCAGGCGGGAUAUCAAGUCUGUCUUAAAAGUGCGAGGCUCAACCUCGUGAGGGGACAGAAACUGGUAUUCUUGAGUGUCGGAGAGGAAAGUGGAAUUCCAAGUGUAGCGGUGAAAUGCGUAGAGAUUUGGAAGAACACCAGUGGCGAAGGCGACUUUCUGGACUGUGUCUGACGCUGAGGCGCGAAAGCCAGGGGAGCGAACGGGAUUAGAUACCCUAGUAGUCC
This 450-nucleotide ribosomal RNA is filed under the name uncultured bacterium. RNAcentral's name for it is "partial 16S ribosomal RNA". It matches the Rfam family "Bacterial small subunit ribosomal RNA", at positions 354 to 796 of the family's 1533-position model. The record is from RNAcentral.